AGUGAACGCUGGCGGUAGGCCUAACACAUGCAAGUCGAACGGCAGCACAGUAAGAGCUUGCUCUUACGGGUGGCGAGUGGCGGACGGGUGAGGAAUACAUCGGAAUCUACUUUUUCGUGGGGGAUAUCGUGGGGAAACUGCCGCUAAUACCGCAUACGACCUACGGGUGAAAGCAGGGGAGCUUGGGACCUUGCGCGAUUGAUUGAGCCGAUGUCGGAUUAGCUAGUUGGCGGGGUAAAGGCCCACCAAGGCGACGAUCCGUAGCUGGUCUGAGAGGAUGAUCAGCCACACUGGAACUGAGACACGGUCCAGACUCCUACGGGAGGCAGCAGUGGGGAAUAUUGGACAAUGGGCGCAAGCCUGAUCCAGCCAUACCGCGUGGGUGAAGAAGGCCUUCGGGUUGUAAAGCCCUUUUGUUGGGAAAGAAAAGCAGCAGGUUAAUACCCCGCUGUUCUGACGGUACCCAAAGAAUAAGCACCGGCUAACUUCGUG
Molecule: ribosomal RNA, 492 nt
Filed under: uncultured bacterium
Lineage: Bacteria
Description: partial 16S ribosomal RNA
Rfam family: Bacterial small subunit ribosomal RNA
Source: RNAcentral